ACGAACGCUGGCGGCGUGCUUAACACAUGCAAGUCGCACGGAAAGGCCCUGCUUUUGUGGGGUGCUCGAGUGGCGAACGGGUGAGUAACACGUGAGUAACCUGCCCUUGCCUUUGGGAUAACUUCAGGAAACUGGGGCUAAUACCGGAUAGGAGCUCCUGCUGCAUGGUGGGGGUUGGAAAGUUUCGGCGGUUGGGGAUGGACUCGCGGCUUAUCAGCUUGUUGGUGGGGUAGUGGCUUACCAAGGCUUUGACGGGUAGCCGGCCUGAGAGGGUGACCGGCCACAUUGGGACUGAGAUACGGCCCAGACUCCUACGGGAGGCAGCAGUGGGGAAUAUUGCACAAUGGGCGGAAGCCUGAUGCAGCAACGCCGCGUGCGGGAUGACGGCCUUCGGGUUGUAAACCGCUUUCGCCUGUGACGAAGCGUGAGUGACGGUAAUGGGUAAAGAAGCACCGGCUAACUACGUG
This 467-nucleotide ribosomal RNA is filed under the name uncultured bacterium. RNAcentral's name for it is "partial 16S ribosomal RNA". It matches the Rfam family "Bacterial small subunit ribosomal RNA", at positions 29 to 507 of the family's 1533-position model. The record is from RNAcentral.